This 1313-nucleotide long non-coding RNA is filed under the name Capsicum annuum. Its description in RNAcentral is "long non-coding RNA (CANN_LNC005879)". Lineage: Eukaryota; Viridiplantae; Streptophyta; Magnoliopsida; Solanales; Solanaceae. The record is from RNAcentral.
CAUAUACACACCCAUUUCCAUUUUUGUAUAGGGAUUCUCCAUUCAUCUUCCAUUUUCUACUCACUAGAACAAUUACACACACAGCCAUAUCAACACACAUAGAUAACACAAAAGAUCACACACAGAGUAAUACUCAUGAAUACACACACUUAUUCUCACCAUAUCUGCACACACAUACACUAAUAUAUUUUAAAAUGACAGACAAAGAAGAAGUUGAGUGAAGGAAGAUCAAGAAAAUUGAGGUUGAAAGAUUGAGAGAGGAAGAUAGAUCGAGAGAGAGAGAGUAAAAAAUAGAGAAGAGAGGGAAUAGAGAACCAGCUAAACGGGAGGGACGUAAGCCAAGUUGCCUUGAAUUUUCAGGAAAAAUUCUUGCCAAAAUCGUUUAUCUCUCACUGGUUCAGCUAUUGAAGCACCAAAAUCCCUUUAUUUUUGUUCGUUUCGGUGAAAUCAUUGAACCAGCCAUACCGCCAAUCCAGUUUUCUCCAAAAUCUAGCAAGCUGUAGCCUUCCCGUCAAUUCCUGAGCUCACUGGAGCUUCGGUGAGUCGCUAAACAUCGAAAGAAAAUUAGGGGGUCGUCUUUGGAAUUUUGGGAUUCGAGUUUGAGCUUCGUUGAUGAUUCAUUGGUUCUGAGGCUCUCGUGGUCGUGUAAAUCAGUUCAAUUGGUCGAAUAAAAGCCCCAAUUUAAGGUCCAUCUCUUUAUCUCAUUCCUAUCCUUAGUUAAUUUUUAUUGUUAUGUGUGGUUGUUUGUUAUCGUCUCGACUUUAUCUUAUUUUAUGCGUGAUGUGAAUGAUGAAUGUCGAAUGAUAUUGAUUGUGGAUUGUUGAAAUAUUAUCGUUGAUCUGUUAUGUUAGAACAAUGGUUGAGAAUGAUUUGGGAUGGGAAUCGGAAGUUAAUAAAGUAAACAUAAUCGAUUGUUUGAUUUGAAAUGGAUAUUAAUGUUGAUUGAAUCGAGGUUAAUUUUGAUCCAUUGGUGAUGUUGACCGUGAUAGAAUUAUGAUAGGCUAGUCGGGUAGGCAAAUAGUAGGUUCGGGUAGGCAAAUUUAUAACAUGUGGAUUGUUGGAUGUUGAAAAUAUUUGUUGAAUGGUGUUAUUUUAUGAAUUUGAUUCAAGUAUAUUCAUUUGGCCGGGGAAUGCCCUGAGGUUUCAUGUACUUAUUCACCGAAAAAUGCCCCGAUGUAUUAUGUCUUCGAAAGAGGUUCGUGAUCAAGGCCCGAGGCAUCGGGUAAAGUAUUGGAGUGUAGUUUAGGAUUAGUGUAGGUUAGCGUAGGUUUACAUUUUUGUAUUUUUUCUAUUUUGGGACUAUAUUAUUGGAC